GAGCUUUAUUUUUAUUUUUUAUGAAUUAAAGGAAUUUUGAAAAUUUAUAAUAAAAUUAAAAAUUUUAUUGGGGUGGUAUUAAAAUUUAAUUAACUUUUAUUUUUUAUUACAUUAAUAUAUGAAUAUUUGAUCCAAUUUUAUUGAUUAAAAAAUUAAGUUACCUUAGGGAUAACAGCGUAUUUUUUUUUUAGAGUUCAUAUCGACAAAAAAGAUUGC
Molecule: ribosomal RNA, 216 nt
Filed under: Wyeomyia occulta
Lineage: Eukaryota; Metazoa; Arthropoda; Insecta; Diptera; Culicidae
Description: partial 16S ribosomal RNA
Source: RNAcentral